Molecule: ribosomal RNA, 1228 nt
Filed under: metagenome
Description: bacterial SSU rRNA
Rfam family: Bacterial small subunit ribosomal RNA
Source: RNAcentral
ACCAAGGCGACGAUCGGUAGCCGACCUGAGAGGGUGAUCGGCCACAUUGGGACUGAGACACGGCCCAGACUCCUACGGGAGGCAGCAGUGGGGAAUAUUGCACAAUGGGGGAAACCCUGAUGCAGCGACGCCGCGUGGAGGAAGAAGGUCUUCGGAUUGUAAACUCCUGUUGUUGAGGAAGAUAAUGACGGUACUCAACAAGGAAGUGACGGCUAACUACGUGCCAGCAGCCGCGGUAAAACGUAGGUCACAAGCGUUGUCCGGAAUUACUGGGUGUAAAGGGAGCGCAGGCGGGAAGACAAGUUGGAAGUGAAAUCCAUGGGCUUAACCCAUGAACUGCUUUCAAAACUGUUUUUCUUGAGUAGUGCAGAGGUAGGCGGAAUUCCCGGUGUAGCGGUGGAAUGCGUAGAUAUCGGGAGGAACACCAGUGGCGAAGGCGGCCUACUGGGCACCAACUGACGCUGAGGCUCGAAAGUGUGGGUAGCAAACAGGAUUAGAUACCCUGGUAGUCCACACUGUAAACGAUGAUUACUAGGUGUUGGAGGAUUGACCCCUUCAGUGCCGCAGUUAACACAAUAAGUAAUCCACCUGGGGAGUACGACCGCAAGGUUGAAACUCAAAGGAAUUGACGGGGGCCCGCACAAGCAGUGGAGUAUGUGGUUUAAUUCGACGCAACGCGAAGAACCUUACCAAGUCUUGACAUCCUGCGACGCACAUAGAAAUAUGUGUUUCCUUCGGGACGCAGAGACAGGUGGUGCAUGGUUGUCGUCAGCUCGUGUCGUGAGAUGUUGGGUUAAGUCCCGCAACGAGCGCAACCCUUAUGGUCAGUUACUACGCAAGAGGACUCUGGCCAGACUGCCGUUGACAAAACGGAGGAAGGUGGGGAUGACGUCAAAUCAUCAUGCCCUUUAUGACUUGGGCUACACACGUACUACAAUGGCGUUAAACAAAGAGAAGCAAGACCGCGAGGUGGAGCAAAACUCAGAAACAACGUCCCAGUUCGGACUGCAGGCUGCAACUCGCCUGCACGAAGUCGGAAUUGCUAGUAAUCGCAGAUCAGCAUGCUGCGGUGAAUACGUUCCCGGGCCUUGUACACACCGCCCGUCACACCAUGAGAGCCGGGGGGACCCGAAGUCGGUAGUCUAACCGCAAGGAGGACGCCGCCGAAGGUAAAACUGGUGAUUGGGGUGAAGUCGGAACAAGGUAGCCGUAGGAGAACCUGCGGCUG